UACGGAGGAUGCGAGCGUUAUCCGGAUUUAUUGGGUUUAAAGGGUGCGUAGGCGGACGCUUAAGUCAGCGGUAAAAUUGCGGGGCUCAACCUCGUCGAGCCGUUGAAGCUGGGUGCCUUGAGUGGGCGAGAAGUACGCGGAAUGCGUGGUGUAGCGGUGAAAUGCAUAGAUAUCACGCAGAACUCCGAUUGCGAAGGCAGCGUACCGGCGCCCUACUGACGCUGAAGCACGAAGGCGUGGGUAUCGAACAGG
This 252-nucleotide ribosomal RNA is filed under the name uncultured bacterium. RNAcentral describes it as "partial 16S ribosomal RNA". It matches the Rfam family "Bacterial small subunit ribosomal RNA", at positions 524 to 776 of the family's 1533-position model. The record is from RNAcentral.